GAUGAACGCUAGCGGCAGGCCUAAUACAUGCAAGUCGAGGGGUAUGGGUUGCUUGCAACCCAGAGACCGGCGCACGGGUGCGUAACGCGUAUGCAAUCUACCUUAAUCAGGGGGAUAGCCCGGAGAAAUCCGGAUUAACACCGCAUAACAUUGAGUUGUGGCAUCACAGUUCAAUCAAAUAUUUAUAGGAUUAAGAUGAGCAUGCGUGACAUUAGUUAGUUGGUGAGGUAACGGCUCACCAAGACCACGAUGUCUAGGGGAUCUGAGAGGAUGACCCCCCACACUGGUACUGAGCCACGGGCCAGACUCCUACGGGAGGCAGCAGUAAGGUAUAUUGGUCACUGGGCGCAAGCCUGAACCAGCCAUGCCGCGUGCAGGAAGACGGCCCUAUGGGUUGUAAACUGCUUUUGUACCGGAAUAAACCUUCUCUUGCGAGAGAAGCUGAACGUACGGUAAGAAUAAGGAUCGGCUAACUCCGUG
This 480-nucleotide ribosomal RNA is filed under the name uncultured bacterium. Its description in RNAcentral is "partial 16S ribosomal RNA". It matches the Rfam family "Bacterial small subunit ribosomal RNA", at positions 28 to 507 of the family's 1533-position model. The record is from RNAcentral.